Molecule: ribosomal RNA, 279 nt
Filed under: uncultured Staphylococcus sp.
Lineage: Bacteria; Bacillati; Bacillota; Bacilli; Caryophanales; Staphylococcaceae
Description: partial 16S ribosomal RNA
Rfam family: Bacterial small subunit ribosomal RNA
Source: RNAcentral
CCUUUGACGUUAGCGGCGGACGGGUGAGUAACACGUGGGUAACCUACCUAUAAGACUGGGAUAACUUCGGGAAACCGGAGCUAAUACCGGAUAAUAUUUCGAACCGCAUGGUUCGAUAGUGAAAGGUGGUUUUGCUAUCACUUAUAGAUGGACCCGCGCCGUAUUAGCUAGUUGGUAAGGUAACGGCUUACCAAGGCGACGAUACGUAGCCGACCUGAGAGGGUGAUCGGCCACACUGGAACUGAGACACGGUCCAGACUCCUACGGGAGGCAGCAGUG